AAAGGGAAGGGAUCUCACAUAUUCAAGGAAAUAGGUGAGAAGCGGUCAGAUGGACGUCGAGAAGUGGAGGGAAAUUGCACCACUGUCUACUAUUUUUGAGCUUAUGUACAUGAGAUUUUUAUUAAUGUAAUAGAUGAGAUGCGGUCGGGAGGAACAUCAAGUAGCGGAGGAGAAUGACACCACUGUCUAAGAUUACUUUGUACUUAUUUUUGUUAUCUUGUUACUUAAUGUAGAG
This is a long non-coding RNA of Pistacia vera, 235 nucleotides long. RefSeq lists it as uncharacterized. The record is from RefSeq and is a predicted model, not a curated record. Lineage: Eukaryota; Viridiplantae; Streptophyta; Magnoliopsida; Sapindales; Anacardiaceae. The transcript has 3 exons.